CCCUUAGACGUUCUGGGCCGCACGCGCGCUACACUGACGAAGGCAACGAGCUUUCCUUUACCGAAAGGUACGGGUAAUCUUUUGAAACUUCGUCGUGCUGGGGAUAGAUCCUUGCAAUUUUUGAUCUUAAACGAGGAAUGCCUAGUAAGCGCAAGCCAUCAACUUGCGUUGAUUACGUCCCUGCCCUUUGUACACACCGCCCGUCGCACCUACCGAUUGAAUGGUCCGGUGAAGCCUCGGGAUUGUGGCCAGUUCACUUCAUUGGGAGUUGGCUGCGAGAACUUGUCUAAACCUUAUCAUUUAGAGGAAGGUGAAGUCGUAACA
RNAcentral lists this ribosomal RNA (324 nucleotides) under uncultured eukaryote. RNAcentral's name for it is "partial 18S ribosomal RNA". It matches the Rfam family "Eukaryotic small subunit ribosomal RNA", at positions 1470 to 1796 of the family's 1831-position model. The record is from RNAcentral.